UGACCUCAAAUCAGGUAGGACUACCCGCUGAACUUAAGCAUAUCAAUAAGCGGAGGAAAAGAAACUAACAAGGAUUCCCCUAGUAACUGCGAGUGAAGCGGGAAAAGCUCAAAUUUAAAAUCUGGUGGUCUUUUGGCUGUCCGAGUUGUAAUCUAGAGAAGUGUUAUCCGCGCUGGACCGUGUACAAGUCUCCUGGAAUGGAGCAUCAUAGAGGGUGAGAAUCCCGUCUUUGACAUGGACUACCAGGGCUUUGUGAUGCGCUCUCAAAGAGUCGAGUUGUUUGGGAAUGCAGCUCAAAAUGGGUGGUAAAUUCCAUCUAAAGCUAAAUAUUGGCGAGAGACCGAUAGCGAACAAGUACCGUGAGGGAAAGAUGAAAAGAACUUUGGAAAGAGAGUUAAACAGUACGUGAAAUUGCUGAAAGGGAAACGCUUGAAGUCAGUCACGUUGUCCAGGGAUCAACCUUGCUUUUGCUUGGUGCACUUUCUGGUUUGACGGGUCAGCAUCAAUUUUGACUAUUGGAAAAAGGCUAAGGGAAUGUGGCAUCUUUGGAUGUGUUAUAGCCCUUGGUCACAUACAAUGGUUGGGAUUGAGGAACUCAGCAUGCCGCAAGGCCGGGUUUUAAACCACGUACGUGCUUAGGAUGC
Molecule: ribosomal RNA, 644 nt
Filed under: Cortinarius (Telamonia) sp. SMIA10
Lineage: Eukaryota; Fungi; Basidiomycota; Agaricomycetes; Agaricales; Cortinariaceae
Description: eukaryotic LSU rRNA
Rfam family: Eukaryotic large subunit ribosomal RNA
Source: RNAcentral